Silurus meridionalis is the source of this 2020-nucleotide long non-coding RNA. RefSeq lists it as uncharacterized. Lineage: Eukaryota; Metazoa; Chordata; Actinopteri; Siluriformes; Siluridae. The transcript has 2 exons. The record is from RefSeq and is a predicted model, not a curated record.
CAGCAGGUGGAAAUAGUAUAAAAAUGGGGAUAAGAAAUAAAAAAAAUAAUAAUAGAUAUUGACAGUAGUACAGAUUUAAAGUGUGAUUGUCUCUAAAGGUUCAUGUGCUGAUGAACCCAAACACCAAAGGUGUGUAAGCACCUGUCUGUUCUUCUACCUUUCUUCCUCCUCCUCCUCCAUCGUCUUCUUCCGACCAGGGUUUCUGUUUUCUGUGGCCGUUGUGUAAUUUUGCACACUGAUUGGAAAAGUCUAAGUUUUACGCUUUGAGAUACCGCCACUGUAGCGCCACCAUCUGGUCCAUAAUGUUUGUUCACAAAAAAAAAAAAAAACGAUUUAAAGAAUUCUCUGGAAGCUGUGAGGAAGCUCAGAGUGCAGGGUCAGCCGUGAUCCAUCACCCCUGGGGCACUGAGGUUUAGGGGCCUUGCUAAGGGGCCCCAAUUGUGACAGCUUGGCGAUACCGGGGCUUGAACUCUGGACGUGAAACAGGACGUGAGGCUGCAUUUCAGCAACGAUUUUACCCCCUGACCCAAAACUCAAUAGGCUUCUUCAGGAUGUAUGAAACAAAUCUACUGUCGGCGCCACCUACUGGCCAAAAAGUAACACUUUUUAAACCUUCAUAAUGCUCCACAUUUAGUUUAACCAUCAUCACAUCAUUUUGACACCCUGCUGCCCAGAUUUACUCAUUUAGACCUUUUCUCCUACACACGAGAAUUUCACAACUGAUCAUAACAUUACAAACAUCUGAAUCCCUUUGUGUGUAGUUUCAGCUUUGAUUUCAUGCAAUAAUCAGGCAGCAGUUGUGUGGGAACGUUCACACACAAGUGCAAGUGUGAAAUAUGUAAUAAAUACAGUCAUUAAUUAGGUCUCGAUGAUGAGAAUGCUGGUGAGACCCUGGUGUGGUUUCUCAAGUAACAACACAUAGGCUAAUGCUAAAGGUUGGUAUUUUUCCAGCUGUGAAAUCUUGGCUAAUCUAAAACCUUACCUACAAGAACAAGAUGUAGCAUGAUCUCAGACCCAAUAUCUUACAGUACCAGUCCAGUGUACACACCUUCUCUUUUAGUGGCAUUCUGUUCAUUUCCAACAUCACACUUUAAUACUGAAUAAUCCAAACUAAGAAAGAACAUUCAUGGAUUUAUGUUGCAAACGUAUAUAUUUUUAAUUCUUCAAAGUAGCUACAUUUAGCUUUGAUGACAGCUUUGCAUUCUCUCAGCGAGCCUCAUGAGGUCGUCACCUGGAAUGGUUUUCUGCCAAUCACGAAGCGUUCCUAUUGGUGUUGAGUGAGUGUUGGCUGCUUUUCCUUCUCCAAUCCUAUUCAUCCCAAACCUUCUCAACUGGCUUUAGAUAGCAGCAAAGCACCUCCUCACCAUCACACCUCCACCUGUGCUUCACCGUGGGAACCACACAUUCAGGAACUUUCCAUUUACCCUCUGAAAAUAAAGAAAAAACACUGCAGGUGUCCAAAUUAUUGGCUGGUACUGAGGAUAAACAAAAAAGACUGAAAUUAUGAUUCCCACAAUUUCAUGCGUUGAAGCAAAUAGUUGGAUUUCUUUACUAUUUUCUUCUUUCAUCUUGAUGAAAUAUUUAGAAAAUUGCUCCUGCUUUAUUCAAACACCACCAAUACAUUUUUUUUUUACAAUAAAAUAAACCUAACGUGUUGAAACAGAUGAUGAACGGAUCUGGAUAGCAAACAACAUGAAAAGAAUCAUAAAUAAGAUGAGAAUACGAACAUAUGACCGGCGUUGUUUUGCAAACCGAUAAAUAAAAGAGGCUCCAAAAAACAUUGGAAUCAUUUUAUUGAAAUCUAUUUAUAAUUUGAGAUCAUCUCAGAAACGUCUCUAAAAGAACUCCGGAUAAUCCAAAAUGUAAAAAAAAAAAUGUCUAAGAUGGGUUUAUUUCAACAACAAAAAAAUCAUUUAUUAUUUUACUACAAAAAGGUACUAAUGUUACAGGAGCUCGGGUUAAAAGACACAAAAACAGACGGACAGGAGACAUUUUAACACAAAGAUGAUCAGAUGCAGAA